GAUUAUUUUUCUUUGAGUUCCAUUGAAAUAAGACAUCAAUUAAACCCAACCUCUAGACCCCAUCAAAUCAUGUUCUCUGUUCGCAGGGGCAGUACUAAUCAAGCGCUCACUAUUCUUUCAUGGAGAUGUUUUUGAUUUUAGCAAGGUUUUUCUUCCCUCGCUAAGCUGGAAGCACUUCGCGCGUAAAGAACAGCACCGGUUCCCAAAUUGUCCGUGUUCUGCAGCUGCGAAUAUCGCUCGGUAAUUGGCGGAGAGCACAUCAAUCAUGCGUUUAGCCGCACCCCUCCCCCCAUUCAGCCAGUCUGGUGGCUGUUCCUGUGUGUUUACUACACGGACCACGCAGCAGCAGACACUUGGUUUCACAUGCACCUAACUCACAAUAGCUAGCGAGCUAAACACUUUAUAGUUCCAUCUGAAAGAGAAUCUCCAACAAUCCAACAUGCCCAAGAGAAAGCAGGGAGCCGCUGGGGACACCAAGGAGGAGCCCCAGAGGAGAUCCGCCCGGUUAUCAGCGAAGCCAGCCCCAGCCAAGGCUGAACCCAAGGCCAAGAAGGAGAAACCAGCAAAGAAAGAGAAGGCUGUGAAUGACAAGAAGGAGGAGAAGAAAACUAAGAAGGCAGCAGCGAAGGAGAACGCAGAGGCCGCUGAGGAGAACCACUCUGAGAACGGAGGCGCUAAGACCAACCAGAUUGAGGAUGCUCCCGAGGCAGAGAAGGAGGAAGCCAAGUCUGAGUAGCAACACUGCCAACCCCUGACCUCCGACCCCAACCCUUCCCACCAGCCUGCCCCAGUGUUCGUGGUCCCCCUCCAAGACAUAUUGUUAACAGAGGAAUAUUUUUAUCAGUGAUUUUAUAAGUAUACUAUCUACUAUCCGUACAGAUUUUUAGCACAAAGCAAAGCUGAGUAAUAUAAUGUAGAUCUGCAGUGGUCAUAUCAACAAAGUGUCUGCAGGCAAGAUGAACACACUAAAAUCUUUUUUAAUUAAACAGCAUUUCAUGAUUGUGUAGGAAGCAAAGCGCGUCCCGUCCCAUAGUGACUUGUGUUCCUGUGCCCCCCUCCUCCACAGUUGGUUCUCCUAGGGUUCUACCUUAUUCCUGGUUAAUUAACGGUUCUCCCUGACGUUCCCUUGCUUUGUCUAAAUGUUCCUGUUUUUACAUUAAACAUGUUCUAAGCGUGUUGAAAGUGUGUUGUCCAAUAAGAAAGAGGAAGAGGAUCAUGAGAAACAUUCUGGACAGAGUGACAUGCUUGUGUCUCCUAGGCGACCCUGUAACAGUGACAUGCGUGUGUCUCCUAGGCGACCCUGUAACAGUGACAUGCGUGUGUCUCCUAGGCGACCCUGUAACAGUGACAUGCGUGUGUCUCCUAGGCGACCCUGUAACAGUGACAUGCGUGUCUCCUAGACGAUCCGGUAACAGUGACAUGCGUGUCUCCUAGGCGACCACAGCAGUAGUGUGUGACAGCUCUCCAUCUUGCUGGUUUUCUAACACAUGUUUUUUUAGAUGAGCGGUUCUCUGACGUGUCUGUCCCUCUGAUGUUCUGGAAUUCUUCAAUAAAACAAGUCCUGUGAAUUUUCCUCAAAACUUUGUUGUCGUUAUUACAUCC
This 1602-nucleotide long non-coding RNA is filed under the name Salmo salar (Atlantic salmon). Its description in RNAcentral is "lncRNA (ENSSSAG00000088379.1)". The record is from RNAcentral. Lineage: Eukaryota; Metazoa; Chordata; Actinopteri; Salmoniformes; Salmonidae.